UUUUUAAGGUUAUAGGUAAUC
Molecule: non-coding RNA, 21 nt
Filed under: Caenorhabditis elegans
Lineage: Eukaryota; Metazoa; Nematoda; Chromadorea; Rhabditida; Rhabditidae
Source: RNAcentral